UACGGGGGGAGCAAGCGUUGUUCGGAAUUACUGGGCGUAAAGGGCUCGUAGGCGGCCAACUAAGUCAGACGUGAAAUCCCCAGGCCUCAACCUGGGAACUGCGUCUGAUACUGGUUGGCUUGAAUCCGGGAGAGGGAUGCAGAAUUCCAGGUGUAGCGGUGAAAUGCGUAGAUAUCUGGAGGAAUACCGGUGGCGAAGGCGGCAUCCUGGACCGGCAUUGACGCUGAGGAGCGAAAGCUAGGGGAGCAAACAGG
RNAcentral lists this ribosomal RNA (254 nucleotides) under uncultured bacterium. Its description in RNAcentral is "partial 16S ribosomal RNA". It matches the Rfam family "Bacterial small subunit ribosomal RNA", at positions 524 to 776 of the family's 1533-position model. The record is from RNAcentral.